GGGGAUGUCGCUCAGUGGUAGAGCAUUUGCUUGGCAUGCAAAAGGCACUGGGUUCAAUCACCAGCACUGCAA
Molecule: transfer RNA, 72 nt
Filed under: Marmota monax (woodchuck)
Lineage: Eukaryota; Metazoa; Chordata; Mammalia; Rodentia; Sciuridae
Rfam family: tRNA
About the family: Transfer RNA (tRNA) molecules are approximately 80 nucleotides in length.
Source: Rfam by way of RNAcentral